Molecule: ribosomal RNA, 495 nt
Filed under: Cyphocharax oenas
Lineage: Eukaryota; Metazoa; Chordata; Actinopteri; Characiformes; Curimatidae
Description: partial 16S ribosomal RNA
Rfam family: Bacterial large subunit ribosomal RNA
Source: RNAcentral
AACAUCGCCUCCUGCAAAAAUCAAUGUAUAGGAGGUCCUGCCUGCCCAGUGACAACUUGUUAAACGGCCGCGGUAUUUUGACCGUGCUAAGGUAGCGCAAUCACUUGUCUUUUAAAUGAAGACCUGUAUGAAUGGUGGAACGAGGGCUUAACUGUCUCCCUUCUCCCGUCAAUGAAAUUGAUCUGCCCGUGCAGAAGCGGGCAUAUACAUACAAGACGAGAAGACCCUUUGGAGCUUAUUGGGGCGACCGCGGGGGAAAACAAAGCCCCCACGUAAAACCGAGAGAGACAUCUCUAAGCCACAGAACAUCUGACCAAAAGAUCCGGCCCACAAGCCGAUCAACGAACCAAGUUACCCUAGGGAUAACAGCGCAAUCCUUUCCAAGAGUUCAUAUCGACGAGAGGGUUUACGACCUCGAUGUUGGAUCAGGACAUCCUAAUGGUGCAGCCGCUAUUAAGGGUUCGUUUGUUCAACGAUUAAAGUCCUACGUGAUCU